Molecule: ribosomal RNA, 261 nt
Filed under: uncultured bacterium
Lineage: Bacteria
Description: partial 16S ribosomal RNA
Rfam family: Bacterial small subunit ribosomal RNA
Source: RNAcentral
CGAACGGGUGAGUAACACGUGGGCAACCUGCCCAAAANAGGGGGAUAACACUUGGAAACAGGUGCUAAUACCGCAUAACCAUAGUUACCGCAUGGUAACUAUGUAAAAGGUGGCUAUGCUACCGCUUUUGGAUGGGCCCGCGACGCAUUAGCUAGUUGGUGGGGUAAAGGCUUACCAAGGCAAUGAUGCGUAGCCGAACUGAGAGGUUGAUCGGCCACAUUGGGACUGAGACACGGCCCAAACUCCUACGGGAGGCAGCAG